CGGUUAAGUUAGAAAGGGCGCACGGUGGAUGCCUUGGCACUAGGAGCCGAUGAAGGACGGGACGAACACCGAUAUGCUUCGGGGAGCUGUAAGCAAGCUUUGAUCCGGAGAUUUCCGAAUGGGGAAACCCACUGCUCGUAAUGGAGCAGUAUCCAUAUCUGAAUUCAUAGGAUAUGAGAAGGCAGACCCGGGGAACUGAAACAUCUAAGUACCCGGAGGAAGAGAAAGCAAAUGCGAUUCCCUGAGUAGCGGCGAGCGAAACGGGAACAGCCCAAACCAAGAGGCUUGCCUCUUGGGGUUGUAGGACACUCUGUACGGAGUUACAAAAGAACGAGGUAGAUGAAGAGGUCUGGAAAGGCCCGCCAUAGGAGGUAACAGCCCUGUAGUCAAAACUUCGUUCUCUCCUGAGUGGAUCCUGAGUACGGCGGAACACGUGAAAUUCCGUCGGAAUCCGGGAGGACCAUCUCCCAAGGCUAAAUACUCCCUA
This 487-nucleotide ribosomal RNA is filed under the name Bacillus haynesii. Its description in RNAcentral is "bacterial LSU rRNA". It matches the Rfam family "Bacterial large subunit ribosomal RNA", at positions 1 to 479 of the family's 2925-position model. The record is from RNAcentral. Lineage: Bacteria; Bacillati; Bacillota; Bacilli; Caryophanales; Bacillaceae.